RNAcentral lists this ribosomal RNA (468 nucleotides) under uncultured bacterium. RNAcentral's name for it is "partial 16S ribosomal RNA". It matches the Rfam family "Bacterial small subunit ribosomal RNA", at positions 28 to 507 of the family's 1533-position model. The record is from RNAcentral.
GACGAACGCUGGCGGCGUGCUUAACACAUGCAAGUCGAACGGAAAGGCCCUGCUUUUGUGGGGUGCUCGAGUGGCGAACGGGUGAGUAACACGUGAGUAACCUGCCCUUGACUUUGGGAUAACUUCAGGAAACUGGGGCUAAUACCGGAUAGGAGCUCCUGCUGCAUGGUGGGGGUUGGAAAGUUUCGGCGGUUGGGGAUGGACUCGCGGCUUAUCAGCUUGUUGGUGGGGUAGUGGCUUACCAAGGCUUUGACGGGUAGCCGGCCUGAGAGGGUGACCGGCCACAUUGGGACUGAGAUACGGCCCAGACUCCUACGGGAGGCAGAAGUGGGGAAUAUUGCACAAUGGGCGGAAGCCUGAUGCAACAACGCCGCGUGCGGGAUGACGGCCUUCGGGUUGUAAACCGAUUUCGCCUGUGACGAAGCGUGAGUGACGGUAAUGGGUAAAGAAGCACCGGCUAACUCCGUG